RNAcentral lists this ribosomal RNA (1993 nucleotides) under Salmonella enterica subsp. enterica serovar Napoli. RNAcentral describes it as "partial 23S ribosomal RNA". It matches the Rfam family "Bacterial large subunit ribosomal RNA", at positions 227 to 2141 of the family's 2925-position model. Lineage: Bacteria; Pseudomonadati; Pseudomonadota; Gammaproteobacteria; Enterobacterales; Enterobacteriaceae. The record is from RNAcentral.
AACCGAGAUUCCCCCAGUAGCGGCGAGCGAACGGGGAGGAGCCCAGAGCCUGAAUCAGCAUAUGUGUUAGUGGAAGCGUCUGGAAAGGCGCGCGAUACAGGGUGACAGCCCCGUACACAAAAGCGCAUGUGCUGUGAGCUCGAUGAGUAGGGCGGGACACGUGGUAUCCUGUCUGAAUAUGGGGGGACCAUCCUCCAAGGCUAAAUACUCCUGACUGACCGAUAGUGAACCAGUACCGUGAGGGAAAGGCGAAAAGAACCCCGGCGAGGGGAGUGAAAAAGAACCUGAAACCGUGUACGUACAAGCAGUGGGAGCCCCACCACUAAGCCAGUGGUGAACUCCACAUACGCAUCCUUUGCUGAGGAUACGGUUAACGGAGCGAAAGCGACGUUCAACCUCAAAAGAAGCAGAGGGGGCUUAGUGGUGGGGUGACUGCGUACCUUUUGUAUAAUGGGUCAGCGACUUAUAUUCUGUAGCAAGGUUAACCGUAUAGGGGAGCCGGAGGGAAACCGAGUCUUAACCGGGCGUUAAGUUGCAGGGUAUAGACCCGAAACCCGGUGAUCUAGCCAUGGGCAGGUUGAAGGUUGGGUAACACUAACUGGAGGACCGAACCGACUAAUGUUGAAAAAUUAGCGGAUGACCUGUGGCUGGGGGUGAAAGGCCAAUCAAACCGGGAGAUAGCUGGUUCUCCCCGAAAGCUAUUUAGGUAGCGCCUCGUGAACUCAUCUCCGGGGGUAGAGCACUGUUUCGGCUAGGGGGCCAUCCCGGCUUACCAACCCGAUGCAAACUGCGAAUACCGGAGAAUGUUAUCACGGGAGACACACGGCGGGUGCUAACGUCCGUCGUGAAGAGGGAAACAACCCAGACCGCCAGCUAAGGUCCCAAAGUCAUGGUUAAGUGGGAAACGAUGUGGGAAGGCCCAGACAGCCAGGAUGUUGGCUUAGAAGCAGCCAUCAUUUAAAGAAAGCGUAAUAGCUCACUGGUCGAGUCGGCCUGCGCGGAAGAUGUAACGGGGCUAAACCAUGCACCGAAGCUGCGGCAGCGACAUUUAGGUGUUGUUGGGUAGGGGAGCGUUCUGUAAGCCUGUGAAGGUGGCCUGUGAGGGUUGCUGGAGGUAUCAGAAGUGCGAAUGCUGACAUAAGUAACGAUAAAGCGGGUGAAAAGCCCGCUCGCCGGAAGACCAAGGGUUCCUGUCCAACGUUAAUCGGGGCAGGGUGAGUCGACCCCUAAGGCGAGGCCGAAAGGCGUAGUCGAUGGGAAACGGGUUAAUAUUCCCGUACUUGGUGUUACUGCGAAGGGGGGACGGAGAAGGCUAUGUUGGCCGGGCGACGGUUGUCCCGGUUUAAGCGUGUAGGUGUGUGUUCCAGGUAAAUCCGGUUCACUUUAACACUGAGGCGUGAUGACGAGGCACUACGGUGCUGAAGCAACAAAUGCCCUGCUUCCAGGAAAAGCCUCUAAGCAUCAGGUAACAUCAAAUCGUACCCCAAACCGACACAGGUGGUCAGGUAGAGAAUACCAAGGCGCUUGAGAGAACUCGGGUGAAGGAACUAGGCAAAAUGGUGCCGUAACUUCGGGAGAAGGCACGCUGACACGUAGGUGAAGUGAUUUACUCAUGGAGCUGAAGUCAGUCGAAGAUACCAGCUGGCUGCAACUGUUUAUUAAAAACACAGCACUGUGCAAACACGAAAGUGGACGUAUACGGUGUGACGCCUGCCCGGUGCCGGAAGGUUAAUUGAUGGGGUCAGCGCAAGCGAAGCUCCUGAUCGAAGCCCCGGUAAACGGCGGCCGUAACUAUAACGGUCCUAAGGUAGCGAAAUUCCUUGUCGGGUAAGUUCCGACCUGCACGAAUGGCGUAAUGAUGGCCAGGCUGUCUCCACCCGAGACUCAGUGAAAUUGAACUCGCUGUGAAGAUGCAGUGUACCCGCGGCAAGACGGAAAGACCCCGUGAACCUUUACUAUAGCUUGACACUGAACAUUGAGCCUUGAUGUGUAG